RNAcentral lists this ribosomal RNA (253 nucleotides) under uncultured bacterium. Its description in RNAcentral is "partial 16S ribosomal RNA". It matches the Rfam family "Bacterial small subunit ribosomal RNA", at positions 524 to 776 of the family's 1533-position model. The record is from RNAcentral.
UACGUAGGGUGCGAGCGUUAGGCGGAAUCACUGGGCUUAAAGCGUGUGUAGGCGGAUGCCUAAGUGCUUUGUGAAAUCCCACGGCUCAACCGUGGAAUUGCUUGGCAUACUGGGUGUCUUGAGCCAUCUAGGGGCGAGCGGAACAAGUGGUGGAGCGGUGAAAUGCGUAGAUAUCACUUGGAACGCCAACGGUGAAAACAGCUCGCUGGGGAUGUGCUGACGCUGAGACACGAAAGCCAGGGGAGCGAACGGG